This 496-nucleotide ribosomal RNA is filed under the name uncultured bacterium. RNAcentral describes it as "bacterial SSU rRNA". It matches the Rfam family "Bacterial small subunit ribosomal RNA", at positions 222 to 719 of the family's 1533-position model. The record is from RNAcentral.
GGGAUCGGCCUGCGGCCCAUUAUUUAAUCCUUGUUGGUGGGGUAACGGCCCACCAAGGGUACGAUGGGUAGCUGAUCUGAGAGGAUGGUCAGCCACACUGGGACUGAGACACGGCCCAGACUCCUACGGGAGGCAGCAGUGGGGAAUAUUGGACAAUGGGCGAAAGCCUGAUCCAGCUACGCCGCGUGGGUGAUGAAGGCCUUCGGGUUGUAAAGCCCUGUCGGGAGGGACGAAAGUCUUCGGACUUGACGGUACCUCGCAAGAAAGCACCGGCUAACUCCGUGCCAGCAGCCGCGGUAAUACGGAGGGUGCAAGCGUUGCUCGGAAUUACUGGGCGUAAAGCGCACGCAGGCGGCUUGGCAAGUCGGAUGUGAAAGCCCUGGGCUCAACCCAGGAACUGCAUUCGAAACUGCCAGGCUUGAGUUCGGGAGAGGGUGGUGGAAUUCCUGGUGUAGAGGUGAAAUUCGUUGAUAUCAGGAGGAACACCGGCGGCGAA